GUUACCAAACCCUGAAAACCCUACCUCCAAGUACUCAAAUGAUGGUGAUAACAAAACCCAUUACUUAACCAAAAGACAAGUACCUUGCAACUUUGGCAGUCAUUGCUGACCACAAGGUCCUCAGGGUCCUCAAGGUCCACCAGGAAAAGAUGGGAAAAAUGGACGAGAUGGUAGAGAUAGUCUCCCAGGGUUAAAUGUAAGGGAGGGGUUGCAGGGACCACCUGGUGCCAAAGGUGACACUGGAUCUUUGACAAAAGACAUCAUAGAACAUCAUGGCAAAAAUUCAGAAUGAUCCAAAGCUUACUGGUAUGUCCAGAUCCAAUCUUAGAUCUUCUACAGCCAAGCCCAAUUAAAUGUAAUAAUUUAUCAUACCAAGUUACCAAUUGAUGUAUCACCUCAAUGUAUUACAAUAUUGGCACAGUAUAUUCAAGCUAGUGGGACAGUGUUUCUCUCAGUUUAUUGUAUGUUUUAAUGUCUACCAGACAAUAACAGCCAUGUUGGAGCAGUGUACCCAAUUUGGCUCACUAGGUUUAAAAGAAGUUUUUAACUGUCUAGCAGCCAAUACCAGCCAUAUGGUGGAAACGUAUUAACAAAAUAAAAACUUGUAUUUCAUAAAUUUUUUUUGGUGAAAAGGGAAGGCGUGUUCAGACUAGUAAAAUUUAACAUUAAUAAAAAUGGAAAUUUAUUCGAUCGGAGUCGCGGGCUUGGGCGCGCAACUCGUAAUAA
Lingula anatina is the source of this 726-nucleotide long non-coding RNA. RefSeq lists it as uncharacterized. Lineage: Eukaryota; Metazoa; Brachiopoda; Lingulata; Lingulida; Lingulidae. The record is from RefSeq and is a predicted model, not a curated record.